This 194-nucleotide long non-coding RNA is filed under the name Mustela putorius furo (domestic ferret). Its description in RNAcentral is "lncRNA (ENSMPUG00000029528.1)". Lineage: Eukaryota; Metazoa; Chordata; Mammalia; Carnivora; Mustelidae. The record is from RNAcentral.
CUCGGAGUUCUCUGGUAAUGGACUGCCUUGACACUUGGCCUUGGAUGGUCCUGCAGCCUUUUCCAGGAUGGAUCGUGAUUGCUGUUGGAAUCGCAUGGGAUGAUGCUGCUGAUGAAAACUGGCCUGCACCAUUUAGCAGGUAGCGCACAGGUCAGUGUACAAUUAACAGCUGGAUCAAUAUUACCCCUGAUUCU